AUUCAGGACUGAUAAAAAAUGUGUACACUCUAACUGCUGCCUGAGUUCAGACAUGGUGCUUCGAAGAAUGAAAAAUGGGACUCGCAUUAUGCUGAUUCUUCCAGAAUGUAAUGCUUCGAGGAGCCUUUAAAUCAUACUGUUUAAAAUGUCGACAUUGAGGUACCAUGAAGAGAAUUGUGACAUUGGAUUUGGGGAAUUUAAGUUUGGCCCUCUUUUCAUGAGGUUAUGCUAUGAGCUAGGUUUAGAUGAGCUGGGAGCCAGAACCCUGACUGAUCCAAAUGAUAUUGAGAGAGCCCAGGCAUUCUACUCUCAGAUAAUGAGCACAGAAAGUCGGCUGUGCCAGAACCUAAGG
This is a long non-coding RNA of Carassius gibelio (silver crucian carp), 352 nucleotides long. RefSeq lists it as uncharacterized. The record is from RefSeq and is a predicted model, not a curated record. The transcript is spliced from 3 exons. Lineage: Eukaryota; Metazoa; Chordata; Actinopteri; Cypriniformes; Cyprinidae.